CGCGUAGGCGGUUUCGGAAGUCAUGGGUGAAAGUCCUCGGCUCAACCGAGGGAUUGCCUGUGAAACCACGGGACUGGAGUGCUGGAGAGGGAAGCGGAAUUCCCAGUGUAGCGGUGAAAUGCGUAGAUAUUGGGGAGGAACAUCUGUGGCGAAGGCGGCUUCCUGGACAGACACUGACGCUGAGGCGCGAAAGCCAGGGGAGCGAACG
This 208-nucleotide ribosomal RNA is filed under the name uncultured bacterium. RNAcentral's name for it is "partial 16S ribosomal RNA". It matches the Rfam family "Bacterial small subunit ribosomal RNA", at positions 568 to 774 of the family's 1533-position model. The record is from RNAcentral.